UCUCCGUUGGUGAACCAGCGGAGGGAUCAUUACCGAGUUUACAACUCCCAAACCCCUGUGAACAUACCAUUUGUUGCCUCGGCGGUGCCUGCUUCGGCAGCCCGCCAGAGGACCCAAACCCUUGAUUUUAUACAGUAUCUUCUGAGUAAAUGAUUAAAUAAAUCAAAACUUUCAACAACGGAUCUCUUGGUCCUG
Molecule: unclassified non-coding RNA, 195 nt
Filed under: plant metagenome
Description: partial contains small subunit ribosomal RNA, internal transcribed spacer 1, and 5.8S ribosomal RNA
Source: RNAcentral